CCUUGUGAGUUAAGCAAUACAGGAAACCCUGCCUUAACGAAGAGAAAUUUGGACACAUACAGAGACACCAGGGAUGUUCAUACGCAGAGGACAGACCAGGUAAGCACAAAGCAAGAAAGCUGACCUUCUGCAAACCAAGAGAGGCCUGGGAAGAAACAAACCUACCAACACCUUGAUCUUGGAUUUCCAGCUCCAGAACUGUGAGAAAAUGAAGUUCUGUUGUUUAAGCCACUCAGUCUGUGAUGUUUUGCUAUGGGAGCCUUAGCUAAGACCGUUCAUCCAGCCAUCCAGCAACCCAAGUCAUCCAUCCAUGUAUCCAGCCAUCUGAAAAUAAUGAUCUAGUAUUUAGCAGGCUGCCUACUGUAUUGAUCUUUGGAUACAGAAAUAAAGUAUAUAGUUCAUGUCCUCAAGGCCCUCAUAGUCUAAUGUGGUGAUGGGGUGGGUGGGGGGCAAACAGCUAAUAUAGUUCAGGUGUGCUGAGCUAUGAUGGGGGGGAUAGAGAAUAGAGAACCAUGGAAAUACAUAGAAGGAAGCUCUGUCCCAGUCUGAGUUAAGCGGGGUAGAGGCAGAGCUAGGGAGUCCUGAGAAGGUAACCUGAGGAACAGCGAAGGUAAACACCCCCUCAUCCCACAAACCAUUUCAUAGGCUCUAUUCAUUGUCCUGAACUCCGUCUGGGUAAAGGCCAGUUACCUGCUAAGAUUUUUUUUUUUUUUUGUCUUUUUAGGGCCAUACCUGCAGCAUAUGGAGGUUCCCAGGCGAGGGGUCAAAUUGGAGCUGUAGCUGCUGGCCUACACCACAGUUCAUAGCCACACCGGAUCCUUAACCCACUGAGCAAGGCCAGGGAUUGAACCUGUGUCCUCAUGGAUCCUAGUUGGGUUCAUGAACCACUGAGCCAUGACAGGAACUCCCACCUGCUAAGAUAUUCUUGAUUUCAAAUAUGUACAUAGAUUUUCAGGAUUACUGGCCUCUAGAUUUUCUUUGCCCUUCCUCUGUCAACAAACCUAAUACAGCUCUGAUCCCUUUUGUGUGCUUGAAAUGCCUAUACCUUCCUUUCUGUCAAAAUCAAGCCAUAUCUCAAAUAUGCAAACAAGUUCUUGCCAUAUCUUGUGAAAACUUGUCAUUUUACAUCCUAGACAUGUAACAAUAUCUCCUGUCCCGUAGAAGUUAACCAGGCCAUUGUAGACCUUGUUCUAAGAGCUAACAAUUUCCAACGGGCAUAACACAGAGUUGAUAUACAUGCAUUGUGGUUCAAGCCACAUCAUAGACUGCCUGUCAAAUAUCACUUAUUUAUGAGAUCACCAUGAGUUUUUGAGAUUCAACUUUAUCUGUUAUUGGAAAAUUAGAGAUAAACAUGAUGUCAUUAGUUUGGCUACACUGCUGAAUGCAGAGAAAAUACUGUCUACUCUGAAAUGUGUCCAUAAGUGAGUGAUGUAGGACUUGAGAGAAGAUGACAUCAGGGAACUUGUGGUUAUCCAUAUGGAAAAAAAAAAUUGAAUAUCAUAUAGGAAAAAAAUUGAAGUUCACCCCUUCUUUAUACCAUACAGAAAAAAUUAAUUCUAGGCACCUUAUAGAUUUAAGUUGGAAAAUGGUGAAAGAGCAAAACUUCUAGUAUUAGUAAAGCUCACUUGGAAGAAUUCUGAGCACUUUUGCAACUAAACUUCACAAUGUUGAAUAAACAAUUGUAAAGAUGAAUAAAGGAAGGUAAAGACAGAAUGACUGGUGGUGAUGACGGGUUAGGUCAUCAUCCAUUUUAUAGAUGGUUGUCAAGAAGGGAACAUUUGAUCAGUGUCUGAAGGUAGCUAAAGAAUGAGCCAUAUAGAUACCAGGAGAAAGAGGAUUCUACCGGAGCGUAGCAAAUGCAAAUGUCCUGAGGUGGAGUUUGUAAGGUAUGUUAAAGCGACAGCAAUGGAGUCUAGCAAACCUGAAGGAGAGUGAGUGAGCCAGUGCUGGUGGCCACAAGGCCAGAGAGACAUCAUGGGUUAUAGGUAAUGGAUCUGGGAAUUUAAGUAAAAUGUGAAGCCUAAGGAAGAUUUCAUUAUGUGCAUAAAAAAAUUUAACAUAGAUUUAUUUAUUUAUUUAUUUUUGCUAAACUGUCUGAAUUCCUAAAAUUGAUUAAUGGUUCUAGUUCCAAUUCAGCUGGGCUUUAUAAUUGUAAGUGGAAGGGAUUAAACUUUUAUGCAGUAAACAAAUAUAGAUAAACAAUAUUCUGGGGGAUUUGUGAUUUCCCAGAAGUAAAUAAUAAUAAUAUUCUCCAUUGAUAAAUAAUAGCAAUAUAACUGUAUUCCAGCCACUCUGAACUAUGUGUGGAAGCAUGUACCAUCAAUUACUACUAGGAGUUAGGAGAAAAUUAAAAAUUAUUUCUCAAUAUUUCCUCUCGUAAUUAAAUGUUGUAUGUUUAACAUCACCAAACACUGUCAAAAUAAAUGUCGUAUUUUCCAUACUGAACUUGUUAGACCAGGCUUAGUUUGAAUCUUUGCUCUGCCAUAUACUUAAUCUUUUACCUUGAGCAAAUUUUCCCAGCAUUUUUGAGUCUUAGUUUCUUUCUUCCUGGCAGCAUGGGCAUAAUAGUCUCUAAUUCAUAGAGAAUAUCUGCUAAACACUUGUCCUGGUUUUUACCACAUGGUAAGCAUUUAAAAAUAGUUGUAGCUAGGAGUUCCCAUCAUGGCUCAGAGGUUAAUGAAUCCGACUAGGAACCAUGAGUGGGUUAAGGAUCUGGCAUUGCUGGGAGCUGUGGUGUAGGUUGCAGAUGUGGCUCAGAUCCCGUGUUGUUGUGGCUGUGGUGUAGGCUGGUGGCUACAGCUCUGAUUAGACCCCUAGCCUGGGAAUCUCCAUAUGCCGCGGGAGCGGCCCUAGAAAAGGCAAAAAGACAAAAAAAAAAAAA
RNAcentral lists this long non-coding RNA (2881 nucleotides) under Sus scrofa (pig). RNAcentral describes it as "lncRNA (ENSSSCG00035044503.1, ENSSSCG00160013759.1)". Lineage: Eukaryota; Metazoa; Chordata; Mammalia; Artiodactyla; Suidae. The record is from RNAcentral.